AUUGAACGCUGGCGGCAGGCCUAACACAUGCAAGUCGAACGGUAGCACAGAGGAGCUUGCUCCUUGGGUGACGAGUGGCGGACGGGUGAGUAAUGUCUGGGAAACUGCCUGAUGGCGGGGGAUAACUACUGGAAACGGUAGCUAAUACCGCAUAACGUCGCAAGACCAAAGAGGGGGACCUUCGGGCCUCUUGCCAUCAGAUGUGCCCAGAUGGGAUUAGCUAGUAGGUGGGGUAAUGGCUCACCUAGGCGACGAUCCCUAGCUGGUCUGAGAGGAUGACCAGCCACACUGGAACUGAGACACGGUCCAGACUCCUACGGGAGGCAGCAGUGGGGAAUAUUGCACAAUGGGCGCAAGCCUGAUGCAGCCAUGCCGCGUGUAUGAAGAAGGCCUUCGGGUUGUAAAGUACUUUCAGCGGGGAGGAAGGCGAUAAGGUUAAUAACCUGUCGAUUGACGUACCCGCA
Molecule: ribosomal RNA, 464 nt
Filed under: Enterobacter cancerogenus
Lineage: Bacteria; Pseudomonadati; Pseudomonadota; Gammaproteobacteria; Enterobacterales; Enterobacteriaceae
Description: bacterial SSU rRNA
Rfam family: Bacterial small subunit ribosomal RNA
Source: RNAcentral